This 502-nucleotide ribosomal RNA is filed under the name uncultured bacterium. Its description in RNAcentral is "partial 16S ribosomal RNA". It matches the Rfam family "Bacterial small subunit ribosomal RNA", at positions 30 to 523 of the family's 1533-position model. The record is from RNAcentral.
AUUGAACGCUGGCGGAAUGCUUUACACAUGCAAGUCGAACGGCAGCACGGGAGCUUGCUCCUGGUGGCGAGUGGCGAACGGGUGAGUAAUGCAUCGGAACGUACCUAUUAGUGGGGGAUAACUAUCCGAAAGGAUAGCUAAUACCGCAUACGUCCUGAGGGAGAAAGCGGGGGAUCGCAAGACCUCGCGCUAAUAGAGCGGCCGAUGUUGGACUAGCUAGUUGGUGGGGUAAAGGCCUACCAAGGCGACGAUACAUAGCUGGUCUGAGAGGAUGAUCAGCACAACUGGGAGGAGGACACGGCCCAGACUCCUACGGGAGGCAGCGGUGGGGAAAUUUGGACAAUGGGGGCAACCCUGAUCCAGCCAUUCCGCGUGAGUGAAGAAGGCCUUCGGGUUGUAAAGCUCUUUCGGCAGGAACGAAACGGUGGUUACUAAUACUAGCUACUAAUGACGGUACCUGAAGAAGAAGCACCGGCUAACUACGUGCCAGCAGCCGCCGUAA